UUAAUAGUGGAAGUACAUCUAAUUUUCCUUCUACAUGGUUCACUUUGUCAACUGUCCCAUAUCACAAGAUCUUAGCAUUUAAGUUUUAGCUUUUGUUUCAGGAUAUCUGAUGCAACACGUGUUGGAAAACAAGCCAAGGGAGAUCUGUUUUUGGAGCAUUGCCAUUCUCCAGCAAGUGUUGCGAUUCAUCUUCUUUUGCACCCAUCCUCGCCUCUGCAUCCAUGAGGACGCAUGUACGCUCGAUCCCAGAUUCUGGUCACAAUGACAACAUGAUCGACUAUGGCAGAAAACCACAGAGACAAGUUUAGGUAAACAUUGUGGUAAUUUCCUUCUUUAAGUUCAUGUUGUCUAUUUUAUUUGAUUCUUUUCUUCAUAGAAUUUGGGUGCUUAAAUUAUGGGGCUUAAAAAUUAUUGGAGGGAGGAUGGGAAAUUAUAACUAUGGUUACAUGCCCAGGAAUUGAAUUACUACAAUCCUUGGUACAUUGCGACUUGGUGAAUUCCACCAAUACUGCCUCUUUACUGACAGAGGAAAUGUAUUUCAAGGGUACAUUCAUAGAGUUCAGGGCAGGAAAUCUGUAAUGAUCAGUGUAUUCACCCAUAUGGAGAAAUUGUGGUCAAGAAGAAUGUGACUUUUUUAGAAUCAUGCCAAGCUUUCAGCCUAAAAGUGUGUCCGUGCUUCAUACAAAGUUUGGCUACUUGAACCUCGCAUUUUCUAUCACUGAGUGACAAGGUAAAUCUUUGACAAAAAAGACCUUAUUUUGCAACAAUGAUUGUUUUAAUAAAGUUUAUUAAAUGAGAGUUGAUUUGGUCUAUGGCAUAAUACUCAACAGAAAAAAUAUUAUACAUGCUAGUGCUAUCACUUAUUCUGCGGCAUUGUAACUCAUCCUAUUUUUUUCACUCUAGAACUAGCAACAUCCAUUGAAGGCAAACUGCGUAGCCGUCUAAGAAAAUUCUGUAACUACAGUGGAAUGCCAGAUAAAUGAUUUAUGUUGCUAGGCUAUGUCCCAAAUCUCCAUGG
Non-coding RNA from Lolium perenne, 1018 nucleotides. NCBI's taxonomy places the organism in Eukaryota, Viridiplantae, Streptophyta, Magnoliopsida, Poales, Poaceae. The record is from RefSeq and is a predicted model, not a curated record.